Solanum pennellii is the source of this 416-nucleotide long non-coding RNA. RefSeq lists it as uncharacterized. The record is from RefSeq and is a predicted model, not a curated record. The transcript is spliced from 3 exons. NCBI's taxonomy places the organism in Eukaryota, Viridiplantae, Streptophyta, Magnoliopsida, Solanales, Solanaceae.
AUCCAUAUUUCUUCAUCUCCAUCUCUUCCACCCCUAUCUUUCCCUCUCUUUUAUUCUCCUAGGAUCUCAGGCAAAGCAGCGAACGACACCGACCAGCGAGCAGUCGGCAACCGGGCGUUGCCUACGACCCUUUCUUCUUGCCAGAAAGCGAAGGCUGUGCCUAGCCAAUUAUUUGUUUCUUCCGAUGCAAACGUGUCACCGUCUUCAACUCAACCGCAACUCUAGUCAGUCUUCAUCAAGCCAGAUUUCAGGGUCAUACGGUAGGAUGCUCAAUAACAACUGGAAGAUUAAACACAAUACAACGUACAAAAGAUUGCAAGAAUUUUUUGAGGGCUAUACAUAUAUGUUGUUAAUUUUAAUUUGUAUUAUGUAUAAUGCUCAUUAUUAAAAAAAUUACUCCAUGCUAUUAAGUUUAA